RNAcentral lists this ribosomal RNA (1217 nucleotides) under uncultured Rhizaria. Its description in RNAcentral is "SSU rRNA". It matches the Rfam family "Eukaryotic small subunit ribosomal RNA", at positions 577 to 1804 of the family's 1831-position model. The record is from RNAcentral.
CGGUAAUUCCAGCUCCAAUAGCGUAUACUAAAGUUGUUGCAGUUAAAAAGCUCGUAGUUGGAUUUCUGCGGGGACGGAGCGGCCGGACGCAACUUGCGUCUCGAGCUAGCGCUUUCCCCGCAUCCUGCCGCGAACCGUGCUACCAUUAGUUUGGUGGCGCUGGGGAUCGGCUCGAUUACUUUGAGAAAAAUAGAGUGUUCAAAGCAGGCCACACGCCUUGAAUAAGUUAGCAUGGAAUAAUGACUAAGGACUUCGGUUCUAUUUUGUUGGUGUUCGGGACUGAAGUGAUGAUUGAUAGGGACAGUUGGGGCGGUCUGUAUUCCAAAGCGAGAGGUGAAAUUCUUAGACCUUCGGAAGACAAACAGCUGCGAAAGCGUUCCGCAAGGAUGUUCCCUUUGAUCAAGAACGAAAGUUGGGGGAUCGAAGACGAUCAGAUACCGUCGUAGUCUCAACUAUAAACUAUACCAGCUAGGGAUCGGCCAACGUUUAAUUAUUCGACUUGGUCGGCACCUUAUGAGAAAUCAAAGCAUCUGGGUUCCGGGGGGAGUAUGGUCGCAAGGCUGAAACUUAAAGGAAUUGACGGAAGGGCACCACCAGCCGUGGAGCCUGUGGCUUAAUUUGACUCAACACGGGAAAACUUACCAGGUCCAGACAUAGGAAGGAUUGACAGAUUGAUAGCUCUUUCUUGAUUCUGUGGGUGGUGGUGCAUGGCCGUUUUUAGUUGGUGGAGUGAUUUGUCUGCUUAAUUGCGUUAACGAGCGAGACCCCAGCCUGCUAAAUAGCGCGGCCGAGCUUUGCUCGGUGCGAGCUUCUUAGAGGGACUAUGAUGCGCGAUAGCACAAGGAAGUUUGGGGCAACAACAGGUCUGUGAUGCCCUUAGAUGUUCUGGGCCGCACACGGGCUACACUGGCGCCUGCAACGAGCAUAUCAGCUGGCCCGAGAGGGUCUUGGCUAAUCUUUUGAACCGGCGCCGUGCUUGGGAUUGACCUUUGCAAUUGUUGGUCAUGCAACGAGGAAUGCCUUGUAAACGCGAGUCAUCAGCUCGCAUUGAAUACGUCCCUGCCCUUUGUACACACCGCCCGUCGCUCCUACCGAUGAAUGUUCCGAUGAAAUUUUCGGAGAGCGCCAGAGAACGGGGCUCUGCCUUGCAGAUCUGGAGGCUCAAAGUCACUUAAAUCUGAACAUUUCGAGGAAGGAGAAGUCGUAACAAGGUAACC